This is a long non-coding RNA of Phragmites australis (common reed), 450 nucleotides long. RefSeq lists it as uncharacterized. The record is from RefSeq and is a predicted model, not a curated record. The transcript is spliced from 2 exons. NCBI's taxonomy places the organism in Eukaryota, Viridiplantae, Streptophyta, Magnoliopsida, Poales, Poaceae.
AAGACGAGCAAGGCCAUGUCAACGCCCAUCAUCCCAACCAAGGACUCAUAGAGUCCCGCGCCCAAGCCAUCGCGAAUUCUUCCAAUUCGCAAAAGCACGGCUCGACCACCCAUCACGAUCACCAGAAGUUGGCCAAGCAGCGAUGGCAAGCACUCCCCUCGAGACCAUCCUGACCGGAGCAACGAUGGGUGGGAUCACAUCAUCGGGGACAAGGAAGUAAACAAGAUCUACAUUGCUCUUCAUUCUUUUAGAUCAUCUGAUUCUUCUCAGUCCUAAAAAAGUAGCUCUGUUAUGUUCAUUUUGAGCACCAAUAUCUCUAUAUCUCUCUGCUUCUGUUUUAUCUGUGGAAGUAGUAGACACCAUGUGUAUAUUAAAAUGAACUCCCUCUAUAUUGAGUAAAUUGAGAUGAACUCCCUCUAUAUUGAAUAAUUGAGAUUGAGUUGUUGCAAA